AGUGAACGCUGGCGGUAGGCCUAACACAUGCAAGUCGAACGGCAGCACAGUAAGAGCUUGCUCUUACGGGUGGCGAGUGGCGGACGGGUGCGGAAUACAUCGGAAUCUACUUUUUCGUGGGGGAUAACGUAGGGAAACUUACGCUAAUACCGCAUACGACCUCCGGGUGAAAGCAGGGGAUCUUCGGACCUUGCGCGAUUGAAUGAGCCGAGGUCGGAUUAGCUAGUUGGCGGGGUGAAGGCCCACCAAGGCGACGAUCGGUAGCUGGUCUGAGAGGAUGAUCCGACACACGGGAACUGAGACUCGUCCCAGACUCCUACGGGAGGCAGCAGUGGGGAAUAUUGGACAAUGGGGGCAAGCCUGAUCCAGGCAUACCGCGGGGGUGAAGAAGGCGUUCGGGUUGUAAAGUCCUUUUGUUCUGAAAGAAAAGCAGCAGUUUUAUACCCCGCUGUUCUGACGGUACCCAAAGAAUAAGCACCGGCUAACUUCGUG
RNAcentral lists this ribosomal RNA (492 nucleotides) under uncultured bacterium. RNAcentral describes it as "partial 16S ribosomal RNA". It matches the Rfam family "Bacterial small subunit ribosomal RNA", at positions 29 to 507 of the family's 1533-position model. The record is from RNAcentral.